GUCUGGUCCGAUGGCAGUGGGUUAUCAGAACUUAUUAACAUUAGUGUCACUAAAGUUGGUAUACCACCCCCCCGACUGCUAAAUUUGACUGGCUUUAA
Unclassified non-coding RNA from Cavia porcellus (domestic guinea pig), 98 nucleotides. It matches the Rfam family "Y RNA". From Rfam's summary of the family: Y RNAs are components of the Ro ribonucleoprotein particle (Ro RNP), in association with Ro60 and La proteins. The Y RNAs and Ro60 and La proteins are well conserved, but the function of the Ro RNP is not known. In humans the RNA component can be one of four small RNAs -- hY1, hY3, hY4 and hY5. The record is from Ensembl. Lineage: Eukaryota; Metazoa; Chordata; Mammalia; Rodentia; Caviidae.